This 1445-nucleotide ribosomal RNA is filed under the name uncultured organism. Its description in RNAcentral is "16S ribosomal RNA". It matches the Rfam family "Bacterial small subunit ribosomal RNA". The record is from RNAcentral.
CUGGCGGCGUGCUUAACACAUGCAAGUCGAACGAAGCACUUUUGCAGAUUUCUUCAGAAUGAAGUUUUACCUGACUGAGUGGGAGACGGGUGAAUAACGCCUGGCUAACCUGCCUCACACAGGGGGAUAACAGUUGAAAACGGCUGCUAAUACCGCAUAAUCGCACGUUACCGCUUGGUACAGUGUGAAAAACUCCGGUGGUGUGAGCAUGGACCCUCGUCUGAUUAGCUAGUUGGCACGCCACCAGCCUACCAAGGCGACGAUCACUAACCGACCUGACACGCUGACCGGAACACGUUGGGACUGACACACUCCCCAAACUCCUACGGGAGGCAACUAUGGGGAAUAGUGCACAAGGCGGGAAACCCUGAUGCACCGACACCACGAGAGCCAAAAAGUAUUUCAGCAUGUUAAGCUCUAUCAUCAAGUAAGAAAAGCUGACCCUACCUGACUAACAAUCACCGGCUAGAUACGUGCCAUCCGCCCCGGCAAUACCUAUGGUGCAAACGAUAUCAGGAUUUACUGGAUGUAAAUGGAGCGCAGGCGAAAGGAUAAGUCUGAUGUGACAGCCCGGAGCUCAACCCCGGUACUGCACUGAAAAAUGGUCAUCUAGAGUGUCGGAGGUGUAGCUAGAAUCGGUAGUGUAGCGGUGAAAUGUGUAGAUAUUAGGAGGAGCACCAGUGGCGAAGGCGGCUUACUGGACGAUAACUGACGGUGAGGCUCGACAGCGUGGGGAGCAAGCAGGAUUAGAUACCAUGAUAGUACACGCUGUAAAUGAUGAAUAGUAGGUGUCGGAAAGCACAGCUUUUCGGUGCCGCCGCAAACGCAUUAAGUAUUCCACAUGGGGAGUACGUUGGCAAGAAUGAAACUCAAAGGAAUUGACGGGGACCCGCACAAGCGGUGGAGCAUGUGGUUUAAUUGGAAGCAACGCGAAGAACCUUAGCAAGUCUUGACAUCCUUCUGACCGGACAGUAAUGUGUCCUUUCAUUCGGGACAGAAGUGACAGGUGGUGCAUGGUUGUCGUCAGCUCGUGUCGUGAGAUGUUGGGUUAAGUCCCGCAACGAGCGCAACCGUUAUCCCCAGUAGCCAGCGGUUCGGCCGGGCACUCUGAGGAGUCUGCCAGGGAUAACCUGGAGGAAGGUGGGGAUGACGUCAAAUCAUCAUGCCCCUUAUGACUUGGGCUACACACGUGCUACAAUGGCGUAAACAAAGGGAAGCAAGACCGUGAGGUGGAGCAAAUCCCAAAAAUAAAGUAUCAGUUCGGACUGUAGUCUGCAAUCCGAAUACAGGAAGCUGGAAUCGGUAGUAAUUGCAGAUCAGAAUUCUGCGGUGAAUACGUUACCGGGUUUUGUACACACCGCCCGUCACACCAUGGGAGCUGGAAAUGCCCGAAGUCAGUGACCCAACCGCAAGGAGGGAGCUGCCGAAGGCAGAUUCGAUAACUG